CCUUGCACAUUAUACCUGUGAUUUGUGUUAGAACUAAGGUUAGAUUUUAUCUUACACAUUUUACCUGUACUUAAGUGUUAGGAUUAAGGUUAUAUGCUACCUUACACAUUAUACCUAUUUUUGUAAGAGUCAAUGUUAUAUGUUUACCUAACUAUUGUUAAGAGAUAGAAUUGUGUCUUGAGAUAAGGUUGCAUGCUACCUUUCACAUAUUUAUAUUGUUAUAUUUAAGGGUGUAUGCUAUGUUAGACAUAUCCCACCUUUAAUAUAUAAGAUCCAGUACAUUUGUUAUAACUUAUUUAUUACCCUUCUGUUUGUCAUAAUUUAAUUCCGUCCUUUUACAAUUAAAAUCCAAGUCAUCUUUUGUAUAUUCCACAAUUUUAUCUUAGUGUGAAACUCUUUUUAAAGGAGACAGAUGGUAGAAUUUCACUAUAAUAUAUUUUCAAAGUGUCAUCUUGUUAAGAUGUCACAACACACAAUGUCUCACAAAUAGAACAAUGUCAUCCAUUCAACUUUCACACACUACUCUAAACAAAACUAAUUUAAAAGGUAUUAUAAAAACGAUAGUUUUAUUGGGUAUAUGCAAAGUAAUUGAUUGUUAGAAAAGCUAGAUAUUUCAAACAUUUUAUGCAUGAUCGAAAUGACUUAUAUUUCAUGUCAAUAAAAUUUGUAUUUAUAAACCCUAUUUAAAAAAAAAUAACUGCUUUAUUUUGUGCAUUUGUGCAAUAUUCAUAGAAAUACCAGUUAUACCAUUAUAUUUCUUAACAUUUCCUCCCUCCGAGAUCUUUGACUUUAUAAACAUAUUCAAAUGAAGAUAUAGAUACAAGAUUUUAAUCCAAAUAGAUUUGGACUUGUUUCUUUUUCUUCAAACAGACGAUAUCAAACUAUAGUUGCUGCACACAGAACUGUUCUCUCAGGGAAACUUACAAGUAUAUGUAAGGUGCAUCAGUCAUGAUGUCACGUGAUGAAACAAUUUUUUUUUUAAUAUU
Pecten maximus is the source of this 986-nucleotide long non-coding RNA. RefSeq lists it as uncharacterized. The transcript is spliced from 2 exons. The record is from RefSeq and is a predicted model, not a curated record. NCBI's taxonomy places the organism in Eukaryota, Metazoa, Mollusca, Bivalvia, Pectinida, Pectinidae.